This is a non-coding RNA of Pelobates cultripes (western spadefoot toad), 334 nucleotides long. The record is from the annotation of a GenBank genome assembly. NCBI's taxonomy places the organism in Eukaryota, Metazoa, Chordata, Amphibia, Anura, Pelobatidae.
CAGCGGGGGAGGAGGAGGAUGAGGUAGCCAACACUGUUUAUAUAUAUGUAUAUAUAUAUAUUUUAAUUGGGGUAGCCCCCAAAAUAUUGGGACAUAUAAAAAAAGACAACUCUGUUCUGCAGAGUAGCUGUUGACAUUAUAGUUGCGCAGGCACUUUUUUGAACCUCGGGCAAAUCACACAUCCCCAUGGUGGCGACUUUGCAUGCGGAUGUCAUCCAUAUCAACUUUCGAUGCCAGUUUCUGCGCCUACCAUGGUGACCACGGGUAACGGGGAAUCAGGGUUCCAUUACGUACAGGGACCCUGGGAAACGGCUACCACAUGCAAGGAAGGCAG